Hydractinia symbiolongicarpus is the source of this 900-nucleotide long non-coding RNA. RefSeq lists it as uncharacterized. The transcript has 2 exons. Lineage: Eukaryota; Metazoa; Cnidaria; Hydrozoa; Anthoathecata; Hydractiniidae. The record is from RefSeq and is a predicted model, not a curated record.
GGUAAUUCCCUCCCACCCAGGGAAUUUAUUUAGGUAGCCAGAAAGUUUCAUGCUGGUGAAAAGCAGUUUGCUGAUUGAAUUGAUUUAUUGCUAAACUAGCUAUAUAUUUGAUACUGUGAAUACGAUAUAAAUACAUAAAUAUAUAUAUACAUAAGACACCCAUCGUACUUCUGUUGUUGGUGUGCAGAAAUUGUCGUCGACUGCUUCGGGAACCAGUCCCAAAUUGUUCUAUGAUACAAAACAUGUAGGCACGAUUUCAUUGAACUAAUUUUGACCCAACAAUUCACAAUUUCAAGCGUCAUUCAAACGUGAUUUGCAUGUGAAGAUUUGUUGACAGAAGCGGUUAAAAAAAAAGAUGGAACAAUGAUGAAACAGAAGAGCUUGCUGAUUUUCUCGAUUACCACUUUUUGUUGGAUGCGUAUAAAAUAAGAAUAUAUUCGUUAAAUACAGAUUAUGAAUUGAAAUAAAAAAUACUUGUAAUAGCCUAAUUUGUAAAGUAUUUUUAUAUAAUUCAGAUUGACUUUCGUGGUAAAAAAUCUCACGAUUAGGGAUUGGUCUAGGCUGAAAUGUCUAAAAAUGUGUAAAGUGUUAUCUUUUUCGUUUAACAUAUAUAUAACUGUACAAUUUUUUUCAUUUGCAAUCAGUUGCUAGUCUAACAACAACAACAACAAUAAUGAUAAAUAUUUAAAGUGUUUCUAGCCCAGAAAAUCACAAAAACCUAUUGUUAGUGGAUUAUUUCCAUUGGGGUCCACUGAGUCUGAGUGAAGCUAGCUUUCUCACAUUUACGUUUAGUUUUAGCAGGGUUCUAGAAAACUAAUCAAGACCAACGUUAGAGGUAGCUAAGGUUACAGAUCAGAUGAAUUAUUAUUUUCCUUUUAAAAUUUAAUUUUAGAAGUAUAA